Long non-coding RNA from Notolabrus celidotus (New Zealand spotty), 1104 nucleotides. RefSeq lists it as uncharacterized. The transcript is spliced from 2 exons. The record is from RefSeq and is a predicted model, not a curated record. NCBI's taxonomy places the organism in Eukaryota, Metazoa, Chordata, Actinopteri, Labriformes, Labridae.
UUAUAAGUCAAGCUGUUUUGCAGACGUCAAGCAGCCAUGCAGGCUUUGGAGUUUCAUUAUGCAUUUAUAAAAUUUACAAAUAAAAUAGGAUUAAUGCCACAAGGACACUGAAUCAAGUAAAGAAGAUAAUUAAAGUAUUUAGUCCAUUUCUCAAGACUGUGAAUGCCGCCAGAAAACACUGAUUGACCCGUCUCUGCCUCGUCAUUCAAAACUGGCACAUGAUAAUUGGAGUGCUGCAUCCAUUUAAACAAACUGCCUGGAGUGAAGGAACUUCUAGAUAUAAUCAAGUCGUGUAGCUUUCGGUCAGAAGUAGACAGAGCGAAAGUCAGCUUGUCAGUUAUAUUAUGAAGUUGCAUGACAUCCUCACUUUUGAAAUUCUUGAAAAGAAAUAAAUCAUUCAUAUCAGCCCGGUCAUUGAUGUUGAAACACAGUCGCUGGCCCUCGAUGUGGGGAUGCUUUCAAGAAUUAUUUCCUCACCAUUUGAUCUGGCACAUGUACCUUCAUCCUUGAUCCUGUUGUGACAUGUGCCGUAUCUGUUAGCCAUUUGGCUCCUUGUGAUAACAGCAGUGAAGACAGAGCUGAGACGUUCUUCUGUGCUUUGAACGGGGGCUGGAUCUCUCUGGUACACAGCACCGCGUAAAGGGACUUCUAAUCAGCUGCCAGUAUUCUUCCUUGUCUUCUUGAUAUUACAGUUUCCCUUGGUGAUUCAUAGUAGCACCUAAAAUACAUUAUCCAUGGCGCACUACAUGGCGCUCACACCCUUUUGUGGGUGUUACAUGACAUUCGCUCGUCUGUUUUCACUGGAGAGCGAACUCACAAGUCUCCACAGUGUGGAUUAACAAUGAAACCCUGAGUAAAAGAAGACGACAGUAAUGUUGGCCUGACUCAAAGAGCAUGAAGAGAACAUGAACUGAAGUAGAGCUGGAUGUCAAAGACACUGUCCUCUCUGUCUGUCUCUGUCUGUCUGUCUGUUCCUGUUGUGUGACGGCCUGACACACCAAAGCUGAACCGAAGAUGAACAGGAGCAUGUUGGUGCAGAGAUGCAGAGGCUCUUUGUCUGUGUGACACACUGUGUUCUCAAUAAAGCUAAGUUGUGGCAAUCAA